UCCAGGUUUCCAUUUUCUUUGUUCUGCAACUUUCUUUGUAACUUUUCCACAAAAAAGCUAGUUACUAAGUUUCCAAUGGCUUCCACUAGCUCCGAAACACCUUCUUUAUCAUUGUCAUCAUCUUCUUCUUCAAUUCCUGGUUCAAACUAUGAUGUUUUUCUCAGUUUUCGGGGUGAGGACACCCGCCAUAGCUUUACAGACCAUUUAUACGAGGCAUUUAGAUUGAGAGGCAUUGAAGCCUUUAGAGACAGCGAAAAACUCCAACUAGGACAAGAAAUUGCUUCUGAGCUCAUACAAGCAAUAGAAAAUUCCCAGUAUGCAAUUGUUGUUUUCUCAGAAAAAUAUGCCGAUUCUAGGUGGUGCUUGGAUGAACUUGCUGAAAUUGUUGAAUGCAAAAAAAAUAAGGGACUUAAAGUGGUGCCUGUCUUUUACCACGUAGGUCCCUCCGACGUACGGAAGCAGACUGGGCCGUUUGGAAAAGCCUUUGCCGAACAUAAUAAAGAUGACAGAAUCGACGGAGAGAAGAUCCAGAAAUGGAAGGAUGCUCUGAGAGAAGUGGGGAAUUUAUCCGGCAAGCAUUUAAUUUCACAUCAAAGCUCUGAGGCAAAAGUUAUCCAAAACAUUGUGCAAUGGAUAUCAAAUAACUUGAGUUAUAAAAUCGAAACUAAUGAACUAGUUGGAAUAAGUUCCCGAACUAAGGAUUUGAAGUCACUUUUAGCUUUAGAGUCAAAAGAUGUUCGCUUUAUAGGAAUUUGGGGGAUGGGAGGAAUGGGUAAAACAACUCUAGCAAAAGUUGUUCAUAAAACGUUUUCCAAUCAAUUUGAAGCUAAUAGUUUUCUUCAUGAUGUUAGGAGGAAAUCUGAAAAUGGUUUACAUGGGUUACAAAAAAGACUUUUGAAAGAGCUUUUGUGCGGCAUAGAUAUGGAUAUACAAGAUGUUGAUGAGGGAGUUUUCAUCAUAAAGAAAAGGUUACAUUGCAAAAAGAUUCUUCUUGUUCUUGAUGAUGUAGAUGAUUUAAAGCAAUUGGAGAAGUUAGCUGGGGGGCAUAGCUGGUUUGGUCCAGGUAGUAGGAUUAUCAUAACAACAAGAAAUAAGAGCUUGCUUGAGACACAUGAUGUAAAUGAAAUAUAUGAGGUUAAAGAAUUGAAUGAUGGCGAAGCUCUUCAACUUUUUAGUUUGAAAGCUUUUGGGAAAGGCCAUCCUGAUGUUGAUUAUAUGGAGCUAUCCCAAGAUUUUAUAAGUUAUUCUCAUGGCCUUCCUUUAGCCCUUGAGCUUUUGGGUCUCUCUUUGUUGAAAAAAAAUAAAGUUUUCUGGAAAGGUUUGUUAGACAAGCUAAAAAAAUCUCCAGAAAGAGGUAUUAUCAAAGUACUUAAAAUAAGUUAUGAGGGACUAGAACCAAUUGAAAAAGAAAUUUUCCUCAAUAUUUCAUGUUUCUUUUGUGGAAAUGAUCAAGAUAGUGUCUUUAAAAUAUUAGAUUAUCUUGAACUUGUCCCUGAAUAUGGAUUAGAGAUUCUUAAAUGUAAAGCUCUCAUCAAAUUGGUAGGCAAUCUAUUAUGGAUGCAUGAUUUACUCCAAGAAAUGGGUCGGGAUAUAGUUUUUCAAGAGUGCCCUGACAAUCCUUUGAGGCGUAGUAGAUUGUGGUUGUAUAAAGACAUUGAAGAUGUGCUAGAAAGAAAUAAGGAAACAGAAGAAAUUCAAGGCAUAGUCCUAAAGUUAUUCAACCCAAAAGUGGCACAUUGGAAUCUUAAAUCCUUUUCAAAGAUGCAUUGUCUGAAAACGCUCAUAAUUGAUAAUGUCGACCUCAAGAAUGAUCUCAAAUAUCUUCCAAGUGGCUUAAGAUUUCUUGAUUGGAGUGGGUACCCUUCAAAAUUGUUUCCAUCAAGUUUCAAAGCCAAGUCUUUUGAGAGGUUGAAAGCCAUCAAAUUGAACAAGUCCCCGAAACUUAUUAAAACCCCUAACUUCACCGAUUUCCCCGUUCUUAAGGAAUUGGAACUUAAGGAUUGUAUAAAUUUACUUGCCUUGCACCCAUCAAUUGGAGUUCAUAAAAAGCUCACUCUUCUUAAUCUAAAAGGUUGCAAAAACCUCAAAAGUCUUCCAAGAAAGCUUGAAAUGGAGUCUCUUGAGAUUCUUAUUCUUUCCGAAUGCUCAAAAGUAAAAAGUAUUCCAGAAUUUGGAGAAAAUAUGAAAAGUGUAUCAAAGUUUUACUUAGAUGGCACUACUAUUACAAAAUUGCCCACUUCGAUUGGGAAUUUGACAGGUCUUGUUUUAUUGAAUGUAAAAGAUUGCAAAAACCUCAUGACUCUUCCUAGCACCUUUUUAAAACUCAAUUCCCUUGAAAAACUGCAUCUUUCCGGAUGCUCAAAACUACUAAAGAUCUUGGGGGCUACUGAAUUUUUAGAGGGUUUUGAUGAGACUGGGACUGCUAAAAAACUUAAAAAACUAUUUAUCAGUGGAGUUAAGCAAAGAAGUACCAAUCCCUUGGAUUUGUCAAUUACUUCUCUAUCGAGUUUGUGUUCUUUGAGCAAAUUGGAGACACUGGAUUUAAGUUAUUGCAAUCUCAAUGCAAUCCCCAAUGCUAUUGGUUGCUUAUCCACUUUAGAAAUUUUAAUUCUAAGAGGAAAUAAUUUUGGUUCCUUCAUGCAAAGAAGUCCCGAUCCCUUGGAGAUGUUAUUGACUUCUCUAUCGGAGGGUUCAUGUUCUUUGAACAAAUUGGAUCUAAGUUAUUGCAAUCUCAAUGCAAUCCCCAAUGCUAUUGGUUGCUUAUCCACUUUAGAAAUUUUAAUUCUAAGUGGAAAUAAUUUUGGUUCCUUCAUGCAAAGAAGUCCCGAUCCCUUGGAGAUGUUAUUGACUUCUCUAUCGGAGGGUUCGUGUUCUUUGAACAAAUUGGAUCUAAGUUAUUGCAAUCUCAAUGGUUUCUCCGAUAGAAUUGGUUGCCUUCCCAGUCUAGAAGAAUUAAGUCUAAGUGGAAAUAAGUUUGGUUACCUCCCGGAAAGCAUCGCUCAACUAAGUAAUCUGUUAUUUUUGGGCCUGAAAGAUUGCCCGAGUCUCCGAUCAUUACCAAAGCUUCCAUAUCGGCCAGAGAGUAAUCCCUUUGAUUUAUCACUAAAGAGUCAACAUAGGAGGAGGCCUACUCCUUUUAGUGCAACUGGAAAUGGUCCUACCCAUACAUAUUUGGGGAAAGAAUGGCCACAACUGGGUCUCGAUCAAGACUUCAUUGCAGAUAUAUACGGGUUUGUAGACUCACAAGCGACACUUAGUUUUGGAAGUGAAAUUCCAGAGUGGUUUGAGCUUCAAAAUAUCGGGGCUGAAAUUAAUAUUAAAGUACCUUCUCAUUUGUGCGAUGAAUUGGCGGGAAUUGCUAGCUGUGGUGUGAUUUGCUGUCGUCAACUGGUCGACAUUGUCCAACAUGACUGCUAUUUUAUAUGUAAUGGAAACAUUAUUGAAUCAAUUUUAAUAAUUGGUCCAAUGACUCAGGAUUUAUCAGAUCGGCUUUUCCUAGCCUAUUUUCCUAAAGCAACGAGCAAUUGGAAAGAAUAUGUUGUGAAUGGAUUCGCUAAGUUUGGCAUUAGAUAUCGAGCCCAUGGUUCAGGCAUGGAGGUGAAGGAAUGCGGAAUUCGUUUGGUGUACGAGAAAGAGGUUGAAAGUUUCCAAGAAAAUCGCAAUCGAAUGAGGGUUGAGAGAAUAAAGAAACAGAGGGAAAAAGACAUUGAUGAAAUCAAUCCACUUAUGGCUGAGAGUCAGAGAAGCAACAACAGCUUCAUUAUUUCUGAGGGCUGGACCGGGAUCAAUUGAGUACCACGAAUGUGGUGAGGAGUUACACGAUUGGGAGGAAUCUAGAGAGUGACCAGGAAGGCUAAUCCACUUUUUUUUCUCUUCAUUGCCUGCAUGGAUGAAGAGCUGGAUGAAGGGAAUGAGUUUUGGGGAUCUUAAAGUACUCAUUGUCUUUUUUUCUCUAUUUUAUGGUCUAUUUGGACUAAUAGGAACAAGGCAACUGUGAGGAAAGAGCCUUUCUUUGCCACAAAUGUGGUCAUGUAUUGUAAAUUUUGAUUUCAAUGUGCAGGGUAACUAACAGUUCAUAAGCCUUGAUAGCAACAGGAUAAGCAAGUCUAAGUGUUCCAACUAGCAACCAACUCCGUUGGAGACAAGCUGCAAGCAUAGGAGAAGGAAAUAGAGGGGAUCCAGCUUCUUUUGUAAGAUAGAGAAGGUGCAUUUCCAUGGCUGGUUGUUUCAGCUGAGCUGUUAAAGAUACUAUAUGACAGCAGCUUUAUUGGCUUUCUGUGAAAGAUUGUUGAAGCUAAAAGCUUUGUGUUAACAAACAGGUGGCAGAGUUGGCCAAUAGAGAGGCUGUGUGGUGAAGGUCAUUCAACAGUUUACAAAUGUUUGGAUUUGACCGGUGGACAGAUGUCCUAGCAGAGCCUUGAUCCCUAGCAACCCUUUGCCCAUAAGUUCUUCAUGAACAUUAGCUUGGAUAACUGGAAGCAAACUCCGAAUCUUGUACUCUUUUCUUCUUGUGCUGUUUUGGUUCCUUUGUUUCAAUGUACAAAAAAAGAA
Molecule: RNA transcript, 4551 nt
Organism: Quercus robur (English oak)
Lineage: Eukaryota; Viridiplantae; Streptophyta; Magnoliopsida; Fagales; Fagaceae
Gene name: TMV resistance protein N-like
Exons: 6
Source: RefSeq, a predicted model, not a curated record